RNAcentral lists this ribosomal RNA (398 nucleotides) under uncultured bacterium. Its description in RNAcentral is "bacterial SSU rRNA". It matches the Rfam family "Bacterial small subunit ribosomal RNA", at positions 30 to 431 of the family's 1533-position model. The record is from RNAcentral.
AUUGAACGCUGGCGGCAUGCCUUACACAUGCAAGUCGAACGGCAGCGGACCUUCGGGUGCCGGCGAGUGGCGAACGGGUGAGUAAUAUAUCGGAACGUACCUUUCAGUGGGGGAUAACGUAGCGAAAGUUACGCUAAUACCGCAUAUUCUGUGAGCAGGAAAGCAGGGGAUCGCAAGACCUUGCGCUGAUUGAGCGGCCGAUAUCAGAUUAGCUAGUUGGUGAGGUAAAGGCUCACCAAGGCGACGAUCUGUAGCGGGUCUGAGAGGAUGAUCCGCCACACUGGAACUGAGACUCGGUCCAGACUCCUACGGGAGGCAGCAGUGGGGAAUUUUGGACAAUGGGCGCAAGCCUGAUCCAGCCAUGCCGCGUGAGUGAAGAAGGCCUCGGUUGUAAGUAC